GCGGUGGUUUUUAAAGCUCCUUUAAAUGAUCUCUUCCCAAAGAAAACUCCCGUGUAAUCUGCCGGCGAGAGAGGGAGGGCUGCUGAGCCAUGAAUUAUUCAGGGAAGGCUCUCGGGAGCCUCUGGAGAUUAUUCCCACCAUUGUCCGCCCUGAUGGGUCAUUAUGCGCUCCCCGGAUUUAAUCUUUGGGGCUAUCCAGCGGCACAGAAAAAAUGGAUGAAUAACAAUUUUCCUGUAAUAACCUUCAACUAACCUUUCAACCGGAGAGACCGGAGCAGCCCAGGCCCAGCUGCUCCUUUCCCCCCAUCCCCUAAAUGUCCAAAACUGCCCUUUUUGCCCUCGCUCCUCCCGGGAAUAUCGCCAGGAUCAUCGGCUGCAUUUAAAGUCCAGCACCGAGCAGAUCCCUCCUGGUGAGAGCAGGAAUUCCACGGGCGAAGGAGCCCAUUGUUCCCGGAGAAUGGCACUGGGAAUGGGGAAUGCUCGGCUCCCAUCCCCUGUCCCGGCGGAUUUAAGAGCGCGGGGAUCCGUCAGAGCAUCCCAAACGCUGGGAUCGCGGCCGGGCGGCUUUAAGAGCCCUGGAAUGCGAUGGGAAGCGGGAGCUGCCGCCAGCUGGCACGGCCCGGAGCUCCGGAUCAAUGCCGGGAUUGUUCGGGACCACGGCGACGAGAAAGGAGAGGAACGGAGAGGGAAAACCAGCUGGAGGGAGACUGGGAUUGAAGUUUCCGCGUGAGCCGUGAUUUGUAGAUAUUCCCAUUAAAAUCCCACUUUGUCUCUGGCCUCUCC
Molecule: long non-coding RNA, 782 nt
Organism: Melospiza melodia melodia
Lineage: Eukaryota; Metazoa; Chordata; Aves; Passeriformes; Passerellidae
Exons: 3
Source: RefSeq, a predicted model, not a curated record